RNAcentral lists this ribosomal RNA (405 nucleotides) under uncultured bacterium. RNAcentral describes it as "partial 16S ribosomal RNA". It matches the Rfam family "Bacterial small subunit ribosomal RNA", at positions 30 to 526 of the family's 1533-position model. The record is from RNAcentral.
AUUGAACGCUGGCGGCAGGCUUAACACAUGCAAGUCGAACGAGUGGCGGACGGGUGAGUAAUGUUUGGGCAUCUGGCUUAUGGAGGGGGAUAACUACGGGAAACUGUAGCUAAUACCGCGUACCAUAGGAUGAGCCCAAGUGGGAUUAGGUAGUUGGUGAGGUAAAGGCUCACCAAGCCGACGAUCUCUAGCUGGUCUGAGAGGAUGACCAGCAACACUGGGAUUGAGGUACGGCCCAGAAGCCUAAGGGAGGCAGCAGUGUGGAAUAUUGCGCAAGGGGGGCAAUCGGUCGCAGCCAUGACGCGUGAAUGAAGAAGGCCUUCGGGGUGUAAAGUUCUUUCGGGAGCGAGGCGUGAAAUACAGAAGAAGCACCGGCUAAGUCCGUGCCAGCAGCCGCGGUAAUAC